UUCUUCCUUCUCAUCUUCUCUGCCUCUCCUUGAGUUCAUCUACCUGCUGGUUUAUGUCGGUUUCCUCUGUUCAUCUCUAGGUCGCUCCCACAUCUCUCUUUUAUCUCUUACUAUUCCCAGAAUCCUCUCUCUUCCUGUCAGUGUUCCACCUUCUAUUUCCUGCCUCGGUUCAUUGGCCAUCAGCUUUUUUUUUUUUUUUUUUGACAGGUGAUGCUUAUAAGAGAUCCUUUCUAUAUAAGAUUCACAAAUUAGAGAGAUCACGUGGCAUAUUAUCUAUAUGGGACUGGGUUACUUCACCCAGUGUAAUAUUUUCAACUUCUAACCACUUACCUGUGUAUUUCACAAUUUCAUUUUUCUUUGCAUUUGAAUAGAAUUCUGCUGUGUAUAAACAUAUCAUAUUCCCAUGAUCUGUUCAUUAGUUAAUGUACAUCUUGGCUAUUUCCAUCUCCUAGGUAUUAUGAACAGAGCAACAGCGAACAGCUACAAUAAAAACUUUAAAUCUUAGAAAAAGGAAGAUUGUGGAAGUCAUUAGAAGAUGUGAAGAACUUCCAUGCCCAUGGAAUAGUAGAAUUGAUGUUGUGAAAAUGACCAUCAUAUGAAAAGCAAUCUACAGAGUCAGUGCAAUCUCAGUUAAAAUCCUCACAACAUUCUUUACAGUAGUAAAUUUAAAACCCCAAAAUUCAUGUGGAACCACAAAAGACCCUGAAUAAUCAAAGCAAUUCUGAGCAAAAAGAAAAUGUUGGCUGGAUUAUCAUACCAGAUUUCAAGUUAUAUUACAGAACCAUAGAAUUUUUUUUUAAAGCAUGGUUCUGGAACAACAACAAAAAUGGACUUGUAGAUCAGUGGAACAAAACAAAAGAGCCUGUCUUAAGUGCACAUAAUUACAGCCACCUGAAAUUCAACAAAGGCAGAAAAAACAUGCACUCCAGGAAAGGCAGCAUCUCCAACAAAUCUCCAACAAAUGCUUUUGGGAAAACUGAAUGUCCACAUGUAAAAGAGUGAAAUUAGAUCAAGAUCUAUGACCCUGUACAACAAAAAGAAAGAGAGAGAAAGACGUAAAGAAAGAAAGAAAGAAAGAAAG
This 1081-nucleotide long non-coding RNA is filed under the name Mus musculus (house mouse). Its description in RNAcentral is "long non-coding RNA chr15:8499289-8500370". The record is from RNAcentral. Lineage: Eukaryota; Metazoa; Chordata; Mammalia; Rodentia; Muridae.